GUGAAUGUGUAACAACCGGUUCCGGCGCAGUAUAGUUUAGUGAUACUGUGGUUUAGUACUCGCAGUUAGAAUAAUCGCACUGUACAUUGCCACUGUCGAUUUUUACAUUUACUCGCAUUUCCUUCGCGUUGUGUUGUGGGUGCAGUGCAUUGUAACUGUUUUUCUCUUGUUUUCAAUAUCGCGUCUCCUCGUUGCAGCUGCCUCUCCCCGCUGUUCCGUUGUUCCGGUACACAUAUCUGCUCCACAACCGCGUCCUAAUCCGAUCGUGGGGAAGCCGCGCCGAAGAUGAGUGCUAAUGCUAACAACGUGCAGGCAGCGCUCUUCGCAUGCUCCCGGUGUUUCUCCAGACAUCCCUUCGAGGACCUUUCGCCUGGACAACAGUUGUGCAAGAUGGAUGCAGUAGAUACGAGCAUGUGGAAGGCUGGAUUUAGAACCUAAAGGUCCAGAAUAUGCUUAUUACAAUUGCUGUUUGUGCCAUUUACAUUUUGAAAAAAAAUGGUACAAUAUUAACAAAAUUAGAGCUCGUCUUCACCCAGAUGCUAUACCUACUCUAUUUGGAGUGCAUAUUAAUAAACAAGAAAAUGUUGUUCAACUGUAUUCAAUUAAUGAAACAGAAAAAGAAGAUAGAUUCACAGAAAAAAUAAAUAGAAAUGUAUGCAGAGAGACCACUGAUGUUGAAAUAAUUCAAAUGCAAGAAGAGACUAG
Cyphomyrmex costatus is the source of this 705-nucleotide long non-coding RNA. RefSeq lists it as uncharacterized. The transcript is spliced from 4 exons. The record is from RefSeq and is a predicted model, not a curated record. Lineage: Eukaryota; Metazoa; Arthropoda; Insecta; Hymenoptera; Formicidae.